CCUACGGGUGGCAGCAGUGGGGAAUAUUGGACAAUGGGGGAAACCCUGAUGCAGCGACGCCGCGUGAGUGAAGAAGUAUUUCGGUAUGUAAAGCUCUAUCAACAGGGAAGAAGAAAGUGACUGUAUGUGACUAAAGAGCCGCCGCUAACUACGUGCCAACAGCCGCGGUAAUGCGUAGGGGGCAAGCGUUAUCCGGAUUUACUGGGUGUAAAGGGAGCGUAGACGGCGGUGCAAGUCUGAAGUGAAAGGCCGGGGCUCAACCCUCGGACUGCUUUGGAAACUGUAUGGCUGGAGUGCAGGAGAGGUAAGUGGAAUUCCUAGUGUAGCGGUGAAAUGCGUAGAUAUUAGGAGGAACACCAGUGGCGAAGGCGGCUUACUGGACUGUAACUGACGUUGAGGCUCGAAAGCGUGGGGAGCAAACAGGAUUAGAUACCCCAGUAGUC
Molecule: ribosomal RNA, 443 nt
Filed under: uncultured bacterium
Lineage: Bacteria
Description: partial 16S ribosomal RNA
Rfam family: Bacterial small subunit ribosomal RNA
Source: RNAcentral